GACCACUUAACCUCUCAAGAAACUCAAUACUGAAAUUGGAAAAGGAAAAGAUAAAUGACAUUUAUAUGUGAUGUAAUUUAUAUACCUUUCUCAGAAUGUUGUUAGCUAGAUGGAAACUUGAAACUGAGUCAUGAACCAAUAUUUCCAGCUAUGCCUAUAGGUACCUAUAGGUGCUCCUUACAUGGCUAAAAUCUCCCUCAUGAUAGCACAAAUUGUCCAAAAGAAAUGGGAGUUCCUUGCAGUCCAAAGCGCCGAGCGAGAAGUAUAAAGGCAAAUUCUGUUUUGGACUGAAGGGAGCUCCUAGUUCUUCGCUUUCAUCAUUUUUAUACUUCAUCUCUUUCAAUUCAAAGGUUUAAAUUUUCUUCCUCUUGUUAUUUGUUUUUUAUGCCUUUAUGUUUGAAGUACAUGUUUUGUUAUGUUACAUAAUAGUAUGGAUUUUAAUUUC
Molecule: long non-coding RNA, 445 nt
Organism: Trifolium pratense (red clover)
Lineage: Eukaryota; Viridiplantae; Streptophyta; Magnoliopsida; Fabales; Fabaceae
Exons: 3
Source: RefSeq, a predicted model, not a curated record